This is a long non-coding RNA of Dreissena polymorpha, 3004 nucleotides long. RefSeq lists it as uncharacterized. The record is from RefSeq and is a predicted model, not a curated record. Lineage: Eukaryota; Metazoa; Mollusca; Bivalvia; Myida; Dreissenidae. The transcript has 4 exons.
GUAUAGUAUGACCACUGUUAUUUUGACGAUUUUCCUAUCGGAUCGUCGGUAAGCGUGACCACAUGUGACAACAGCGAUGCCAGUUGGAAAAUUAGUAGACGUGUCGUUGAACUCGACACAUUGGCCGAAUCGCUUUCAGCAUGCAGUUCUUGCCAAGUGCCCAUGAAUUUUCUUAACACAGUAGGAAGCAGGGAUUUCGGACAGGCAUAUGUUUUGGAAAUACAGUGUAGCAAUUGUGGUGCCAUCAAUAAUGUGGCUUCUGGACGGAAACAUGACAGAGUUUAUGACAUGAACACAAAGCUUGCAUUAGGUAAAUCAUAAACUGGGUGUUUCACCUGGGACUUUCACAUCGAAACUGGCCCUUCCCCGUGACCUUCAGCACAAAAAAAGAAAGGCUAUAGCUGUUGCUCGUGCAGCAAAACAGCGACACAUAAGACUAAAAACUGAAACGGCAUUCAAAGGACAGUGCAAGAAGUACGAGCGGGACCAACAUACAGUUCAAACAUAGAGGACCAAGAUGUUGAAGUUACAACUUUACCCCCACCUGUACCCAAGCCUGGUCCAGCAGGGCUAGACACUACUGGGAAGGAAUUUGUUUUCUUUGAUUUGGAAACAAGAGGGUUAGAGCGUACUUCUCACAUAAUUCAGAUAGCUGCAGUGCAUUCAACUGGUCAGUUUUCAACAUAUGUGAUGCCUGAGAAGAAGAUGUCCUUGAAAGCGUCAGAAAUAACUGGAGUGACAGUUGUUGGCGACUCUAUGCUUGUUAAGGGACAUAAAGUAACAGCUGUCCCCAUCAAAUCUGCAUUGACAAGUUUUAUAACAUUCUUACAGAAAUUUUCACCAGAAAUUUUAGUUGGGCAUAACAUAGAGUGUAUUUGAUUGUAAAGUGUUGCUCCAUGCUGUCCAUACUUUUGGAAAAAUGUAUGAGUUUCAGCAAAAUAUUUGUGGCUUUUUAGAUACUUAAAAAUGUUAAAGGAAAUAUUACCAAAUAUAAAAUCAUAUAAGUUAUAAGUCAAGGUGUUACAAGGAAAGUUGCAGGAAGUGGAUUGCAACUUAAACAUUUGAGUAUUGAAUCAAAAAGAAACGGACUGAGUGGUUUGAGGAGCCCCCUGUCAGAGGUUACAAACGGACAAAUCAGAGUAACAAAAUCAGAGAAAAUAAUAUGUGCAAUAGCGAGUUAUUUGUUGCCUGACAUCUAACCAAUUGUAAUUUGCAUCUUGUAUAUAGAUUAGCUAUGAAAUUGUUUUUCCUUCUCGAUGUUGUGAUUCUUAUGUCAGUUGUAUUUCUCAUGUUUCACCUAAGUUGUAAGAUAUUUUUGGCAGUGCAUUAAACCACAGAUGGUGUGUGAAACAUUAUUGCCCCGCUUAUUGUAUUCAAUGUUGUUUUUAGCUCCACUGGCCAAAGGCCAGCAGGGCUUAUGUCAUGAUCCUGUGUCCGUCGUGCGUGCGUUAACUUUUCCUUUAAACAUCUUCUUCUAUGUUAUAAAUAUUAAGUUAUAUAUAUAGUCUUAAAUAAUGACGACCGACUGUUGGUGACUCAAGUUAUAUUUCUUUUUUUUGUAUUUUGAUUAUUUAGAAUGCAAAAAAUAAAAUGCUAUAUAUCAUAUAUUUGACUGACUCUGUUACAUAUGUACUCAUGUUUGUCAUAUAUUCAGUGCAAAUGUGUAGUUCAUGCACAAUGUUGAUAUGUAAAUUUUACAUUGAUUAUAGCUUGAAAGCAAUGUAUUUGUAUUGUAUUAAGCUUAUGGUGUAAAAUGUAAUGUGUGUACAUGGCUCUUAGUCGAAUUUGAUAACAGCUCAGUUAUGUACACAAGCUAUGGUUUGCAUUAAUCAUACCGUUGAUAAAUGAAGUAUUGUAUUCUUCCAUAGUUUUAUAUUGUAAUUACAAGGUGAUCAUUAUACAACCAUUUACUUUUAUCUGUUACAGGUUUACACACAUUUGUUAUAAAUUAUGCAAUAACUAAUUAAUUAACCCCAUUGAUUCUUUGUCAAUCUAAUAUUUGAAACCUUACUUAUGAUAAAAGUGUGUCUCCUAUAUAAAAACGUAUGCAAUAGUCAACAUUAGUUUGAAUGCUAUCCCAAUUUCAAUUUAUCCGAAUACUAGUACAGUUUACCAUCAUUAAUAGCGUGUGUGUGAUCUCAUUUAAAAUAUUUUUGUGAUAAAGUAAUUUAAUAUCAUAAACCCAGAAUAAAAAAACGAUUAUGGGACCUUUUUAGCACUUAAACUGGAAAUAGAAGUAUUUCGAAACUGUUACCAUGGCAACCAAACACAAUUACAUAAUACAAAAACCGUACCAUCACGCGACACGUCCACCCAAAAUUUUCUGACACUUCAGACAUUUACCUAAAAAUUGAUAUAUAAAUUAGCUUUCACUCUUUUUUGCACACGGGAGGUGCCCACGGACUGUACUAAACAUGGGUAACAGGUGGGUGGGGUAAUUAAAGAUGUUUAUUUGAACAUCAACAUGUUUUUUUUUCAUGUGUUACAUCUGAAAUAUUUCCAUAAGUAUGUAUAUAAUAAAUAUAUCUACGUGUAUCAAAUUUCAGUUGAUAACUUUAUUUGUUAUGGAGCAGUUAUUAUAUAGAUUUGUUUUAAUUACUAUUACAAUGUGAGUAAUUAUAUUUUUGAAAUUAAGUCCAUAUUAAAAGGUCUGUAGCCAAAAAAAAUCCACGGUGACCUAUCAAUUUCUUUACUUCAUUUUUAUGCUAAGCUAGUUUACUUUAAUUAUUGAGAACUUCAAAUGAAUAUGAAAAUUACAUCAACAGAAAUUUGUAUCUGUAUUGUAUGUCAUCGAUUUUUGAACUGUGCAAUAAAAAGUUCAAAACAAACAAAAAACUAGUCAUACUUAUGUCUCAUUACUUUUUACCAUUUCCAAUAUUUUUGGUUUUAAAUGUGUUCAGUAUGAUAAUACAAAUGUUACAGUUGCUGAUCUAAUACAAUCUCAAUACUACUAGUCCAUUUUAAAUGUUUUACACACAAACGUUUUACCGUACCCCCAAUUUUA